Meriones unguiculatus (Mongolian gerbil) is the source of this 1002-nucleotide long non-coding RNA. RefSeq lists it as uncharacterized. The transcript has 6 exons. Lineage: Eukaryota; Metazoa; Chordata; Mammalia; Rodentia; Muridae. The record is from RefSeq and is a predicted model, not a curated record.
CCUGAGCUCUGAAUGGAGGGAUUUGGUGGAGACCUCCAAUUUAGACUCUCCCUCUGCAUAAUGCAUAAUGUGGUUGUUUGCAUCUCAUUUGCUGCCAGAAGAAGUCUCUCUAAUAAUGAGUGGAUAAGGCACUGAUCUGUAUACCUUAGAGUCACACCUGCCAGUAGUACUACCACGAGAUCUAUGUCUGACCUUCAAGUCGUUGGAGAACUUCAGAGACAAUGAGGAUCGGGCCUUCUGUUCCUAAAGAGAGCCCAGAAACAGAGACUGUUGAUUCACCGUGCAGGACCACACGUCUGACACGUCAAUGUCUGAAUGGCCUGUGACAGUGUGGUUGUCUUGGCAAUAGCACUGGCCACCCACGUAAACAUCUGGAGGGCAAGCUGAGACUCACCCAAAUGAGGAGGUUUUGACUGAGAUUGCCAGCAGGUCAGCCCGAGUGCAAUAGAGGGAGUGCACGUAGGCACGCUUCUGCUUCGUGGACUCGGGGACGUGGUUUUCAGGUGUGCACAUGCUUGGUGCGUGACCUGUGCUGACGGACACCUGCACCAACACUCCUGGGAAUCUGUGCUGACAGACACCUACACCGACACUCCUGGGAAUGUCCUUUGUUAUUUCUGCAAGUUUUCGAGAGAAUAGCAUUACAAUUCAUAUUUCUACAUAAAUACGUUUUUCAUGGCUUCUCUGAAGAUGUUCUCUUUGCCAUUGGAUUUCCACAACAAAUGUGAUUCAUCUGCUCAUGGAUAUUUUGAUAUUCAUCUUGCUUUGUUUCUGAUUUGCUACAUGUAAAUGGUUUGUUUGGCACACAACUUUUGAAGAGCAAUUGCACAGAAGGAAAAGAGUAAAUGAUCAAUAAAUGGUGUCACCAGACACCAGGAAAACACAUCAACGCUGCUAUGAAGUAUUAUUGUGCAUCCCAAAGAAUGCCUUGGUUUUCAAGUCUGGCAGACCCUGUUUACUAUAUAGAGAAGGAUCCAUCUGGUACUUUGCAGAUGUGGAAAA